CCUACGGGAGGCAGCAGUGAGGAAUAUUGGUCAAUGGCCGUAAGGCUGAACCAGCCAAGUCGCGUGAAGGAAGAAGGAUCUAUGGUUUGUAAACUUCUUUUAUAGGGGAAUAAAGGUAUCCACGUGUGGAUAUUUGCAUGUACCCUAUGAAUAAGCAUCGGCUAACUCCGUGCCAGCAGCCGCGGUAAUACGGAGGGGGCGAGCGUUAUCCGGAUUUAUUUGGUUUAAAGGGUGCGUAGGUUGUUUUGUAAGUCAGCGGUGAAAGUUUGUGGCUAAACCAUAAAAUUGCCGUUGAGACUGGGAGACUGGAGUGUGGAUGAGGUAGGCGGAAUGCGUGGUGUAGCGGUGAAAUGCAUAGAUAUCACGCAGAACUCCGAUUGCGAAGGCAGCUUACUAAGCCAUAACUGACGCUGAGGCACGAAAGCGUGGGGAUCAAACAGGAUUAGAUACCCCAGUAGUC
Molecule: ribosomal RNA, 460 nt
Filed under: uncultured bacterium
Lineage: Bacteria
Description: partial 16S ribosomal RNA
Rfam family: Bacterial small subunit ribosomal RNA
Source: RNAcentral